RNAcentral lists this ribosomal RNA (449 nucleotides) under uncultured bacterium. RNAcentral's name for it is "partial 16S ribosomal RNA". It matches the Rfam family "Bacterial small subunit ribosomal RNA", at positions 338 to 795 of the family's 1533-position model. The record is from RNAcentral.
CCUACGGGUGGCUGCAGUGGGGAAUUUUGGACAAUGGGGGCAACCCUGAUCCAGCCAUGCCGCGUGCGGGAAGAAGGCCUUCGGGUUGUAAACCGCUUUCGGCCGGAACGAAAUCGCCGGGGAGAACAUCCCCGGUGGAUGACGGUACCGGAAGAAGAAGCACCGGCUAACUACGUGCCAGCAGCCGCGGUAAUACGUAGGGUGCGACCGUUAAUCGGGAUUACUCGGCGUAUUCCGUACGACAGAGGUUAAAUCCCCGGGCUUAACCUGGGAACUGCGGUUGUGACUGGCGGGCUGGAGUGCGGAAGAGGGAGGUGGAAUUCCACGUGUAGCAGUGAAAUGCGUAGAGAUGUGGAGGAACACCGAUGGCGAAGGCAGCCUCCUGGUCUAGCACUGACGCUCAUGCACGAAAGCGUGGGGAGCAAACAGGAUUAGAUACCCCAGUAGUC